This 392-nucleotide ribosomal RNA is filed under the name uncultured bacterium. RNAcentral describes it as "partial 16S ribosomal RNA". It matches the Rfam family "Bacterial small subunit ribosomal RNA", at positions 523 to 918 of the family's 1533-position model. The record is from RNAcentral.
AUACGGAGGAUCCGAGCGUUAUCCGGAUUUAUUGGGUUUAAAGGGUGCGCAGGCGGCCAUUUAAGUCAGCGGUUAAAUCGUGGGGCUCAACCCCAUUUUGCCGUUGAUACUGGGUGGCUUGAUUGCGGUCGAGGUUGGCGGAAUUCGUUGUGUAGCGGUGAAAUGCAUAGAUAUGACGAAGAACACCGAUUGCGUAGGCAGCUGACCAGACCGCAAAGGACGCUCAUGCACGAAAGUGCGGGGAUCGAACAGGAUUAGAUACCCUGGUAGUCCGCACAGUAAACGAUGAAUACUUGUUUUCGGCGAUAUAAUGUCGGAGGCAAAGCGAAAGCGAUAAGUAUUCCACCUGGGGAGUACGCCGGCAACGGUGAAACUCAAAGGAAUUGACGGGG